Molecule: long non-coding RNA, 997 nt
Filed under: Homo sapiens (human)
Lineage: Eukaryota; Metazoa; Chordata; Mammalia; Primates; Hominidae
Description: HSALNT0188628
Source: RNAcentral
ACAGUGCUUCGCGCCUGUAAUCUCAGCACUUUGGGAGGCUCAGGUGGGUGGAUCACCUGAGGUCAGGAGUUCAAGACCAGCCUGGCCAACAUGGUGAAACCCCGUCUCUACUAAAAAUACAAAAAUUAGCCGGGCAUGGUGGCAGGCGCCAGUGAUUCCAGUUACUCAGGAGACUGAGGCAGGAGAAUCACUUGAACCUGGGAGGCAGAGGUUGCAAUGAGACGAGAUUGUGCCACUGCACUGCAGCCUGGGCGACAGAACAAUACUCCACCUACAAAAAAAAAAAAAAAGAAUAAGUUUUGAAGUUUGUCCUUGUCACAUUCCAAUUGGUUGGAAUCCAGGUCUCCUUGACUUGACAGCCUAGACUGAUCUGUUCAUUACACCACACUGGUAAGGAAGAAAGGUGUGUCUGAGGGGUGGGGUGGGAAUAGAGCCCAGAGAAGGGAGACAGCAGGAGGAGUGACAACCAGAGAGGAGAGGAGGGGGCAAAUGGCUUUUCUGUAAAACACACUUGGCCAAGGGGGCAGCUCAGAAGGCUCUCUUUUCCCCUUAGAAUUCUGCCCCAAAGUGGGCAUAGUCCUCUUGUCUUGGUCCUUCUCAACAUACCAAGAGAGGCUCACUUUAAACGAGUGAGCAAAAAACUUUACCUAAUACUAAGGAAACACAAAAAGAAAAUAAACAAUGAAAAUACAUGAACUCUAAAACAGCUCAGCGUUGUCUGAAGUGUAAAGUUUCCAUUCUCACUCCCUGGACUCUCAGACUCGGGUCCUUUGUGUGUCUUGCCUCCUAGAUAACUGCUGCCCAAUUCCAAAGGGCUUUUCACAAUUUUCCAGUCUCCUAGUUUCCCUGCCUCCCAGCUCCCAGCCUGUUUGCCAGGAUGGGUAUGGGGAUACAUUAAGACUUUUAUGUAUUUUUAAAAACAUUUAUUUUGAGGCAGGGUCUCACUCUGUUACUCUGGCUGGAGUACAGUGGUGCAAUCAUAGCUAACUGCAGCCUC